Molecule: unclassified non-coding RNA, 263 nt
Filed under: plant metagenome
Description: partial contains small subunit ribosomal RNA, internal transcribed spacer 1, and 5.8S ribosomal RNA
Source: RNAcentral
UUUCCGUAGGUGAACCUGCGGAAGGAUCAUUAUUGUAUAACCGAGGUGCGAGGGCUGUCGCUGACCCGACGGGUCGUGCACGCCCGAGUGCCCUCACACACAUCCAUCACACCACUAUGUGCACCACCGCGUGGGUCCCCCUUUGGCUUGUUCGGAGGGGGGCUUACGUUUUCACACAAACUUAGUAUGCAGUGUAGAAUGUAUUUUUUGUUUUUGCGAUCACGCAAUCAAUACAACUUUCAACAACGGAUCUCUUGGCUCUC